GACGAACGCUGGCGGCGUGCCUAAUACAUGCAAGUCGAGCGGACUGAAUGGGAGCUUGCUCUUGUUCGGUCAGCGGCGGACGGGUGAGUAACACGUGGGCAACCUGCCCGCAAGACCGGGAUAACUCCGGGAAACCGGAGCUAAUACCGGAUAACACCGAAGACCGCAUGGUCUUUGGUUGAAAGGCGGCGCAAGCUGCCACUUGCGGAUGGGCCCGCGGCGCAUUAGCUAGUUGGUGAGGUAACGGCUCACCAAGGCGACGAUGCGUAGCCGGCCUGCGAGGGUGCCCGGCCACACUGGGACUGAGACACGGCCCAGACUCCUACGGGAGGCAGCAGUAGGGAAUCUUCCGCAAUGGGCGAAAGCCUGACGGAGCGACGCCGCGGGAGCGAAGAAGGCCUUCGGGUCGUAAAGCUCUGUUGUGAGGGACGAAGGAGCGCCGUUUGAAGAAGGCGGCGCGGUGACGGUACCUCACGAGGAAGCCCCGGCUAACUACGUG
RNAcentral lists this ribosomal RNA (499 nucleotides) under uncultured bacterium. Its description in RNAcentral is "partial 16S ribosomal RNA". It matches the Rfam family "Bacterial small subunit ribosomal RNA", at positions 28 to 507 of the family's 1533-position model. The record is from RNAcentral.